RNAcentral lists this ribosomal RNA (243 nucleotides) under Staphylococcus epidermidis. RNAcentral's name for it is "partial 16S ribosomal RNA". It matches the Rfam family "Bacterial small subunit ribosomal RNA", at positions 352 to 587 of the family's 1533-position model. Lineage: Bacteria; Bacillati; Bacillota; Bacilli; Caryophanales; Staphylococcaceae. The record is from RNAcentral.
CAGUAGGGAAUCUUCCGCAAUGGGCGAAAGCCUGACGGAGCAACGCCGCGUGAGUGAUGAAGGUCUUCGGAUCGUAAAACUCUGUUAUUAGGGAAGAACAAAUGUGUAAGUAACUAUGCACAUCUUGACGGUACCUAAUCAGAAAGCCACGGCUAACUACGUGCCAGCAGCCGCGGUAAUACGUAGGUGGCAAGCGUUAUCCGGAAUUAUUGGGCGUAAAGCGCGCGUAGGCGGUUUUUUAAG